AACGAACGCUGCCUGUAUGCCUAACACAUGCAAGUCGAACUAUAUCUCCGUUUUUAGUUGCUCUUACGUGCGUUCCGUGUUGGAAUCUUCCCUUAGUCACGUGUUUCUUCUUUGUCCUUGUUGCUCAUUUCGGAUAACUUACUCUGAUCAAAGAUUUAUCCCCCUUGUAUGUGCCCGUGUUGGAUUACCUAGGUGGUAGGGUAAAAGCCUACCAAGGCGACGAUCCAUAGCUGGUUUGAGAGGAUGAUCAGCCACACUGGGACGGAGACACGGCCCAGACUCCUACGGGAAGCAGCAGUGGGGAAUACUGGACAAUGGGCGAAAGCCUGAUCCAGCAAUGCCGCGUGAGUGAUGAAGGCCUUAGGGUUGUAAAGCUCUUUUACCCGGGAUGAUAAUGACAGUACCGGGAGAAUAAGCUCCGGCUAACUCCGUG
RNAcentral lists this ribosomal RNA (433 nucleotides) under uncultured bacterium. RNAcentral's name for it is "partial 16S ribosomal RNA". It matches the Rfam family "Bacterial small subunit ribosomal RNA", at positions 29 to 507 of the family's 1533-position model. The record is from RNAcentral.